This 306-nucleotide ribosomal RNA is filed under the name uncultured Corynebacterium sp. Its description in RNAcentral is "bacterial SSU rRNA". It matches the Rfam family "Bacterial small subunit ribosomal RNA", at positions 28 to 334 of the family's 1533-position model. The record is from RNAcentral. Lineage: Bacteria; Bacillati; Actinomycetota; Actinomycetes; Mycobacteriales; Corynebacteriaceae.
GAUGAACGCUGGCGGCGUGCUUAACACAUGCAAGUCGAACGGAAAGGCCUGUACUUGUACAGGUACUCGAGUGGCGAACGGGUGAGUAACACGUGGGUGAUCUGCCCUGCACUAUGGGAUAAGCUUGGGAAACUGGGUCUAAUACCAUAUAGGACCACUUCUUGGAUGUUGUGGUGGAAAGCUUUUGCGGUGUGGGAUGAGCCUGCGGCCUAUCAGCUUGUUGGUGGGGUAAUGGCCUACCAAGGCGGCGACGGGUAUCCGGCCUGAGAGGGUGUACGGACACAUUGGGACUGAGAUACGGCCCAG